GAUCAAGCAAAUUACAUGGUAUUAUUCAAUCCUCAAAUCAAAGGACUCAAAAUAUGGCGUAUCAAGGGUUAACCUAUCAUUGAUGCAAAGUAUUGAAGAUGAUUCAUGAUCAUUUAUCAACAGUUUUGGGUCAAAGGAGUUUGAUCAACCUCAAGUCCAUCUAUCAAUGAUUUGAGAUGAGGAAGAACACAUCAACCAAGCAAUCAAGACAACUAAAAACAACAAGAAGUCAACAAAAAACAAAGAAAAUGAAUUAAAAAUGAUUUAAUAUUGAUUAAAUAAAUAAAAUAAAAGGAAAAAUCUCAAAGAGGGGUCAAAGCAUCAAAUAAAAGUCUAAGAAAAAUGUGGAAGGUCAACAAGAAUAUGAGAAGUUGGACCUUAAAAGUUGGGAUAAAAAAGGUUUUUAAAUGAUUAAAAUAAAAAUACCAAAAGAAAAUUAAAUGGAAAAUAAAAGAAAAUAAACGUUUAAUUGAAAAAUGAUUUAAAGAAAAAGAAAAAAAAAGGCACGAGGUAGAAAAUAUUUUUAUGGAAUUAUGAAUAAAAAUGAAUAAAAAGAUGAUAAUGAAACUAUUUUUCAUUAAUUUUAGAAGAAAAUGGGAAUUAAAAACAAAUUAAAACAAAA
Molecule: long non-coding RNA, 622 nt
Filed under: Lathyrus oleraceus (garden pea)
Lineage: Eukaryota; Viridiplantae; Streptophyta; Magnoliopsida; Fabales; Fabaceae
Description: Pisum sativum (pea) long non-coding RNA (PSAT_LNC038593)
Source: RNAcentral